Molecule: ribosomal RNA, 239 nt
Filed under: uncultured bacterium
Lineage: Bacteria
Description: partial 16S ribosomal RNA
Rfam family: Bacterial small subunit ribosomal RNA
Source: RNAcentral
UACGAAGGGGGCUAGCGUUGCUCGGAAUCACUGGGCGUAAAGGGUGCGUUAGGCGGGUCUUUAAGUCAGAGGUGAAAUCCUGGAGCUCAACUCCAGAACUGCCUUUGAUACUGAGGAUCUUGAGUUCGGGAGAGGUGAGUGGAACUGGCGAGUGUAGAGGUGAAAUUCGUAGAUAUUCGCAAGAACACCAGUGGCGAAGGCGGCUCACUGGCCCGAUACUGACGCUGAGAGGCGAAACG